Phyllostomus discolor (pale spear-nosed bat) is the source of this 622-nucleotide non-coding RNA. NCBI's taxonomy places the organism in Eukaryota, Metazoa, Chordata, Mammalia, Chiroptera, Phyllostomidae. The record is from the annotation of a RefSeq genome assembly.
AGCAGCCCAACCCUGACCCUGCAGCUCUGGGACAGGAGCCCAGCCAAGGAUUCCCAGGUGUUCACAGCCCGUGCUCAGGACAGAAUACAGACCUCUCACCAUGGAGUUUGGGCUCAGCUGGAUUUUCCUUGUUGCUAUUUUAAGAGGUGUCCAGUGUGAUGCACAGCUGGUGGAGUCUGGGGGAGGACUGGUGAACCCUGGGGGUUCCCUCAAACUCUCCUGCCUGGCCUCUGGAUUCACCUUCAGUAACAAGGAUAUGAACUGGGUCCGCCAGGCUCCAGGGAAGGGGCUGGAGUGGGUCUCAUACAUUAGUGGUCCUAGUGGUAGUAGCAUAUACUACGCCAACUCAGUGAAAGGCCAAUUCACCAUCUCCAGAGACAAUGGCAAGAACACCCUCUACCUGCAAAUGAACAACCUGAAAGCUGAGGACAUGGCCGUGUAUUACUGUGCAGGGGACACAGUGAGGGGAAUUCAUUUUGAACCCAGACAUAAACCUCCCUCAAAGAAACAAGAGGUCUGGGCUGCUGGGGGCCCUCAGGACACCAGGGGGCACUCAGGUCACACUGAGCACACUAUCAGUUUGGGAGCAGCUGCAGAUGCAGUUUAAGGGCUCCCUUCCUGC